UUUAAAAUUUUUAUUUAUGUUGCAUUAAGAGUGAGAGAGUCAGUAGAUAGAUCCUAAGAUACUAGAUGUGUGUCUUAUUAAGUGAUAAGGUUGAUUGACAUAAAUUUGAAUUAUAAUAGUAAAUAUUUAGCUAGCCUCAUACGUGAAUUAUAUGUCAUGGUUAGUUAGAUUAAUCCAAUGAUUAUAGUGAAGAUGUAAUUUGUAUACAGCUAGGCACUUUUAAAUGAAUAUGAUUAAUUAGGAGUCAUAGAGAGAGAGAAAAAAAUUUGGUAACAGAAGAACCAAAUCUUAUCGUAGAGGACCUAGAGAAAAUUUUGUAGUGAAGUGACAAAAGAUUUAUUCCUUAAAUUUUGGGAAGUAGCCAUAUAUGUGUAACUUGAAGAGAAAAUAUAGUAAAAAUAGUUGAUAGUUUGAAUAGAAGAAAAGUCAAAUCAAUCAAAGCUGUACUCUUCUUGGCUAUUUGAAACAAACUCUCCACCUUUGGAACAAUUCUUUAACCGAAAUGGCAUCUAGUAAGUUCUAGGAUACCAUGUGUCAUCUGGUUUAUUUCUUCAUAUAUUUAAUUAAUGGUUCAACUCUAAUAAUAGCAUAUUUAGUGGAACGUGUAUGUAGUUAACUUGAGCCUUAUAAAUACCACUACACUCAAUACAAAUAUUGCACUUAAGCUCUAUAUCAUCACUCUAAUUCUCUCGUCCCUUUGUACGUUGCUACACAUUACUCUACAUCCCAUAUCUUAUUUUUUAUAAGCUCUAUAUAUAAGCCAUCCAUACACCAUCAAAUUUCUCUUAUAACCAUCACAAUCAUCCUCUCAUAAACAUAUAUAGAUAUAUAUACAUAUCUUUCAUCAUAUUGGCAUCACCAUCUCCAUCAUUUUAUAAUGUUCAACUAGAUCUCUUUUGAAAGCAAAGGUUUGUCAUAGAACAAUUAUUAUUUCUCAAAGAUUUCUCUUAUUGCAAUCAAGGUUAACACUCCACAUCCGAGGUAAGGAAAUUAAGUAGAAAAAAACAUAAGUUUUCUGUAUGUAAUAACAUUCAUAGAAAGAGUGGGAAUAGUAAAAGAGAAGUUAACUAAGGUCUUCUGCCCAACUCUUUAUUGUCUGUUAUUUAAUGUACUGUAUAAUAUAUAUUUAAAUAAUAUGUUUAUAAGAUUCAUGUUAUUUAUGUAUGUUUACAGUAUUAGAGCAUGGCCAUUGCUAAAGAUAUAUAUUUAAAUAAUAUGUUUAUAAGAUUCAUGUUAUUUAAGUAUGUAUGUAAAUAGUGUGUUUAUAAGAUUCACAUUAUUUAAUUAUGAUUGUUAUGUUAUUUAAAUAAUGUAUAGUAGUUUGCCAUUAUUUAAAUUAGAUAGAUUAUAGUUUAUGUGACAUGGUUUGACUGAGAAGAUAAUGGUUAAAUACUUGAUUAUUGGGUCUAUAUGGUAGAUAGGGGGCCAUUUAGUAGUGGGUAUGAUUUUACUGAACCCAGCCCUCCGCCAUUAUUUAGUCCAAUAGCUCGAGUUUAUUUGCCAAAGUCGGACUCGGGCGUAAUCAUUAUUAUGUGAUUUAGCUUAGAACCUAGUUAUUAGUGACUAGUGAUAUAAUUAAGUUUAUGUUUUGCUAUCUGUCUAAAUGUGUGCAUGUGCAUUUUAGUUUAGUGUUGUUUUUAUUUAUGUGACUACCUGACACACAUUUCCUUACUGAGUUUAGUAGCUCACCCUUAUUAAAUUACCAUGUGCAGACCAAAGUAACUAAAAGUCUAGAAUGCCGGUGGCGAGUGGAACUUUGGACGCUUGUGUGUGUGAACUCGCUGAGGGCCAUAUAACUGCGGGCGGUCUAGGGCGCUCUGUUUAUUUAUUUACGUUAUUAAACUUAUGUCGCAAUUAUUUUAGUUAUUAAUUAUUGUGUUUUUUUUUACGAAAACUGGCCAGUUGUGAACAUUUUCAAGUAUUAAAUAAAAAUGCGACAUUAUGAUUUUCCGCGUUUAACGCUUGUAAAUAAAAUUAAUAUUUUUAUAAAAGUACGGGCGUUACAGUU
Molecule: long non-coding RNA, 2008 nt
Organism: Cannabis sativa
Lineage: Eukaryota; Viridiplantae; Streptophyta; Magnoliopsida; Rosales; Cannabaceae
Exons: 2
Source: RefSeq, a predicted model, not a curated record